Molecule: long non-coding RNA, 1071 nt
Organism: Daphnia carinata
Lineage: Eukaryota; Metazoa; Arthropoda; Branchiopoda; Diplostraca; Daphniidae
Exons: 4
Source: RefSeq, a predicted model, not a curated record
UGAAGCUCAGUGUUGUAUACGCAGAAAGUUUGUAAGCAAACCAGAAAUACCGAAUCUGAAAGACGUGUAGCGAACGCAAAGAUAUGGCAGCAUCAAAGACCACUCACGAGCGUCGCAUCGUUAAAAUUAAAGGGGAUUAUAGUUCAACAUGGCGACGACAGGACACCAACCUGUAAAGCCUUGACCACAGAAGAGAAUUUAAACGAAAUCAUAGAAAUUCUCCUUGAUUUUGAAAAACAUACAAGACCUGUAGAUACCAUUUCAGCAAGGUGCAUCUUGGAACCGAUUGUCCAGAUCAGUUUCGGAAUUAAGCCGUGGCACCUUAGCAAUGAAAAUAUCCUAAGCUAGAACUAACGAAGGAGCAAGCUAAAAUCUUUGGGUCUAAUAGUACCAACUGGUAUGGCAAAUGGGAGAGACCUCCACCCUGUCACGAGUUGUGGAUAUGAAUGUACAAAUCUGUGAAUAUUGGAUUUGAUACUCAGAACUGUUCCUGUUAGAAAGGUGCACAUGAAUUUGGUCUUUGUUUUUGUUAUUCUUUUUUACAUAAAAUAUUUUAUUUUCGAUCUAUGUUGGAGUGGAUCGAGGCUGAUGCAUACUUUCUUGUCAUAAUGCAAGAGAAAUAGGGUAAAGUUGCUGAAGCUGCAGACAUUCUCCAAGAACUUCCGUUCAAGACCAUUGAUUCUAUGGAAAAGCUAGAAAAUUGAACAGGUGGAGCUUAUCUUGAAACAAAUGAGAUUGUUUCUUCUGCAUCUGCACUCAGAUCAGGUUGAAAAAGAUAAGUGUCAGAUUUGUUUUUAGAGAAAGAUGUGCUCAGUCUUAAAUUGAAAUAUUUUCAUGUAGGAAUAGUUUAACAUUGUUACAUCUGUCAUAUUAAGCGUGGGAAGGGGGAGAGGAAAUGUUGGUGGAUUAUUCAUCGUUGUGUAGAUUCCUGAUGUUGACAAGAACAGGUAUUAUGUCUCUACAUUUGUUAACAUAAUCAAGCCAUGUACAACACAACAGUGAUCCUGGAGAAAGAGUUUCUGCAAUUGUUGGUUGUUGUCGAGGUGAUGUUUCGGUGACACGCUGUCAAUA